AUGUACUGCUGCUGAUGUGCAAUCCGAUAGCGAGGCCUCGAGACAGCUAAAAGAAGCAGUCUGUGUGUAAUGUAAUUACAGUGCUGACGAGGGCUGUGAUGCAGGAUUAGGUGCUAUAUACAGUACAGAAACUGCUCGACACUUCAGUAGCACUCCUGAGGCAUAGGAAAAGGAUAGGACAGAUGGCCGAAGAAAGAAGCACCAGGCUGAGGCAGCACAUGUUUCACAGAUGGAGGGAGGCACACUUGGAAACAUCUGCGUCAAGGCAGAGCCUUCAGGGACUAAAAUCGCUUUAAAAAGGAAAAACAUGGAUGUAAAAUGACCACAUCAAUUAGCUGACGACACAAGUUAGCUGGACUUCAUGAAACCAACAUAGAUUAAAUUUAAAAAGUGCGCAGAUUCCUCAAGAACAAACCAUGACAAGCAGACCAAACACAGCCAAAAC
Non-coding RNA from Chiloscyllium plagiosum (whitespotted bambooshark), 445 nucleotides. Lineage: Eukaryota; Metazoa; Chordata; Chondrichthyes; Orectolobiformes; Hemiscylliidae. The record is from RefSeq and is a predicted model, not a curated record.